Molecule: unclassified non-coding RNA, 240 nt
Filed under: soil metagenome
Description: partial contains 5.8S ribosomal RNA, internal transcribed spacer 2, and large subunit ribosomal RNA
Source: RNAcentral
AACGAGGCCGACCUGCGGCUGAGUUACCUGCGGAAGGAUCAUUACCGAGUUAGGGUGUCUGUUCGCAGCGCCCAACCUCCCAACCCUUUGUCUAUGAUACCUAAACAGUUGCUUCGGCGUGCCGAGGGGUCGUACCCUCGCCGGGCCUCACGGCCGGGAGCGCGCACGUCGACGGCCUUUAUCUAACACUUGAACCCAAAACCUGUCGUCUGAAAACUUGUGAUUAACCAAUAAUCAAAA